UAUGCUAGAGAUAUAUUGUCAGAAAAAAAAUGAUGAAUAGCGCUUUCACUGGGCAUUAUUGAAAAUUGCCCAGAGGAGUCACCAAAAAUGACCCUCAACCAUCUAUUCCACUGUUUUAAUGUUUAUAUUUUACAUGGCAGUGCAAGGAAAAGACUCUGGUAGCUUCACCGACUAAGAAAUUAAACUGUGAAAAGGAUCCCACUGAAUAUAUGGAUCAGCCACUGAAGCAGACCAUAGUAGUCCCCAAAGAGAUAAACACCUUAUACCACAAGCAAGAUUCAGGGAACAUAUCGUAUUGAUGUCAAAUCAGAGUGUUAUUGGCAAGCACAAAAUAGUAGCAUGUGUACCAUACCAAGAUUAUCAUGAAAGAUGGGACCACAAGAAUUCCUGGGACCAGAUGGAAAGAACUGUGUCAGCUGAGUUAACUGAGAACACAAGGAAUCUGGGGAGAUCCAAAUAAAAACCUAACGAAAGGACAAUCAUGGGAACCUCAACGGAGCAUCAGAGAAUCACCUGGGAGGCUUGUCAAACAUGCAGAUUCGUUUACCACUUGCAAACCCUCCCAAAUCAGAAUAUCCAAGGUGGAUAUCCCAGAAACCAUAUUUUGUAAGAUCUCUGCAUGAUAUUCUCACUUACUCAAGUUUGGGAAGCACACAUUCUAACUUCAGAAAUAACGUGAACAGGUCACCUGAGUCCUGCCGGUCCUCAGUUUCCUUCUCUGUAAAUUGAGGAUAAUUAUAGUCACCUCAUAAGAUCACUGCGAAGAGUAAAUUAGAUAAAACCAAGGUGAGACAUAUGAAGCAUGGAAUGUUUAGUAC
Molecule: long non-coding RNA, 818 nt
Organism: Acinonyx jubatus (cheetah)
Lineage: Eukaryota; Metazoa; Chordata; Mammalia; Carnivora; Felidae
Exons: 3
Source: RefSeq, a predicted model, not a curated record